ACGAACGCUGGCGGCGUGCUUAACACAUGCAAGUCGAACGGUGAAGCUCCAGCUUGCUGGAGUGGAUCAGUGGCGAACGGGUGAGUAACACGUGAGCAACCUGCCCCUGACUCUGGAAUAGGCGCUGGGAACGGCGUCUAAUACUGGAUACGAGAAGGGUCCGCAUGGGCACUUUCUGGAAAGUUUUUCGGUUGGGGAUGGGCUCGCGGCCUAUCAGCUUGUUGGUGAGGUAAUGGCUCACCAAGGCGACGACGGGUAGCCGGCCUGAGAGGGCGACCGGCCACACUGGGACUGAGACACGGCCCAGACUCCUACGGGAGGCAGCAGUGGGGAAUAUUGCACAAUGGGCGAAAGCCUGAUGCAGCGACGCCGCGUGAGGGAUGACGGCCUUCGGGUUGUAAACCUCUUUCAGCAGGGAAGAAGCGAAAGUGACGGUACCUGCAGAAGAAGCACCGGCUAACUACGUG
This 467-nucleotide ribosomal RNA is filed under the name uncultured bacterium. RNAcentral describes it as "partial 16S ribosomal RNA". It matches the Rfam family "Bacterial small subunit ribosomal RNA", at positions 29 to 507 of the family's 1533-position model. The record is from RNAcentral.